AUGAAUCACGUGCGUGAUGAUCCAAAAUGAAGGGAGUAAUAAUGAAGUGGGGGAGAGCAACAUGCUAACUAGAGUGGGUGGAGGUACAUGGAAUCAUAGCAGCUGGAAAAGCAGGGGCAAAAUUGGAAAGCGGGCAGGGAAAGCAAACAAGCUCACAUGCCAGAAAGCGUAGAGAGGCGCACAUGCGAUGCCUUGAAAACAGAAAGCGUCAUUCCUAAUUUCAUGCCCCAAUUUUGGGUCCCUUUUUUUUUUUUUUUUUUUUUCUAUUUCUACUAUCCUCAUCCACUUAUCCUCUCCCACACGCACUCCCAAACUAACCCCCACCAUUUAUCUCAAUUCAAUAAAUAUUUAAUGUAAUACUAUCAUUUACUUACUAACAUUUAGUGUAAAAUUGGGAUGUCGAAAAAUGAUAGUACUAGUAUUUGGUUAUUGUUAAAUGUUAAUGAUGACCUUCAAGAUUUUGAACACACUAGUACUAGUCAUAAUUAUGUGACCGAGUGCUAACAAAUCA
Molecule: long non-coding RNA, 511 nt
Filed under: Salvia miltiorrhiza (redroot sage)
Lineage: Eukaryota; Viridiplantae; Streptophyta; Magnoliopsida; Lamiales; Lamiaceae
Description: long non-coding RNA (SMIL_LNC010615)
Source: RNAcentral